RNA transcript from Nerophis ophidion (straightnose pipefish), 1341 nucleotides. It is a transcript of the gene named zygote arrest 1-like, with no coding region annotated. NCBI's taxonomy places the organism in Eukaryota, Metazoa, Chordata, Actinopteri, Syngnathiformes, Syngnathidae. The transcript is spliced from 5 exons. The record is from RefSeq and is a predicted model, not a curated record.
GGCAGGAAGUGGCUCAGGUUCCUCGGCAGCAGGAUGAAGGGCUUCCUGUCCACCUUCCCCACCUGCGGCGUGUGCGGCAGCCCGCUCUGCCCCCCUCCCCUGCCGCCCGUCCCCCCGGCCAAGCGGGAGGGCCGCUUCGUGACCCCGCACGUGCUGACCUACCUGGAGCUCUGCAAGGCCCGGGCGGCGCCCCAAACCAGGGAGCGCGGCGUGCAGGUCAACGGCAAAGUGGACCGGAUGGUGCAGUGCUCGCUGGGGCCCAUGACCCUGCGGGGGGAGGGGGCGUGGUGGACGCCGCCGCCAGCGCGGGUGAGCGGCCUACGCUUCAUCAGGCCUGUGUCCGCCUACUCCCCGCUGUUGGAGCGCAGGUUCCCCGCUAAGAGCAGCGAGGAGGGGGCGGGGCAUGAGGACCGGGGUGAGGACCGGGGUGAGGACCAGGGUGAGGACCAGGGUGAGGACCAGGAGGAAGGCAGUAAAGAGGCCCACAAGGCGGCUGUCCAACCCUGCAGGGGCUCCAAUUUCCAGUUCCUGCAGCAGAGGUAUGGUUUCUUCCACUGCAAGAGCUGCAACAUCCGCUGGGAGAGUGCUUACGUCUGGUGCAUCUCAGGAACCAAUAAGGUGUACUACAAGCAGCUGUGCCGGAAGUGUCAGGGAGGCUUCCGCCCCUACAGAGUGGAGUCCAUCAUCUGCAAGGGCUGCGGCCUGACAUGCUGCAGCUGUGAGAAGAAGCAGCGACACAUCAACAUGAAGAGACCUCACCGCCAGGACCUCUGCUGCCGCUGCAGGGGCAUGAGGCUCUCCUGUCACAUCACCUCCACCUUCAACUACCUCCACCUUCAACUACCUGCCACAUGACCUCCACCUUCAACUACCUCCUCUAAACCUGUGACAUGACCUCCACCUUCAACUACCUCCUCUGACCUACACCUUAAACUACACCUUCAAUUACCUCCUCUGAACCUGCGACAUGACCUCCACCUUCAACUACCUCCUCUAAACCUGUGACAUGACCUCCACCUUCAACUACCUCCUCUAAACCUGCGACAUGACCUCCACCAUCAACUACCUCCUCCGACCUCCACCUUCAACUACCUCCUCUAAACCUGCGACAUGACCUCCACCAUCAACUACCUCCUCUGACCUCCAUCUUCAACUACCUCCUCUAAACCUGUGACAUGACCUCCACCAUCAACUACCUCCUCCGACCUCCACCUUAAACUACCUCCUCUAAACCUGUGACAUGACCUCCACCUUCAACUACCUCCUCGGACCUACACCUUAAACUACCUCCUCUGAACCUGCGACAUGACCUCCGCCUUCAACUACCUCCUCUGACCUACA